UGUCAUUAUACCAGAGAACGGCAGAUGUCCAGAGGAAUGAUGAUGUCGGUGAUCAAGAGCUCCUGGCUGUGAAGUUGGCUCCAAGGACCCAUUCAUCAUCCUCACUGACCAUCGGAAUCUGGAGUACUUACGGACAGCGAAGAGGCUGAAUCCGCGCCAAGCAAGAUGUGGAUAUCCGCCAGGCUCUGGAGAGGGAGCCCACACCCACUACCUGUCCUGAGUGCAUCUACGUUCUCACGGGGAUCGGCUGCUGACCUGGGAGCACACAGCUGUCGUCGUUGGACAUCCAGGUCGCUGAGUCAUUAUGGCCUUCCGGAGGACAUCAUCUCCAACCGUGGGCCCAAAUUCACAUCACGGGCAUGGAGAGCCUUUAUGGAGAAGCUCAUGGUCACGGUCAGCUUCACUUCCGGGUAUAGGCCUCAGUCCAACAGGCAGGUGUAGAGGAGGAACCAGGAGCUGGGGAGGUUCCUGAGGAGUCACUGCCAGGACCGGCAGGGAGAAUGUCAUGUCUACUCCCGCUCCUCCCCUCCAGCGUUCGAGCUCGCCGGUUUACUAACCACCAGUCCUGGGAAGCAUCAUCCCGCGCACGUGCACUUCAUCAUUACGCACACCUGGACUCCAUUUCCUCCCCUUUAUCUGACACUCCCUUAGUUUCUUUCCCCAGGCAGUAUUGUUUUCUGUUGUUCAUAUCUAGAUGCUACUCCUAUGUUGUAUCAUUACAUGUUUCUUGUUAUAUUAAUCUUACUACCUGCUUCUUGACUCCCAGAGUCUACAUUACAGUAGAUUAAAAUCAAAACUGUAAUCUGGCCACUCAGGAAUUCACUGUAAAUAACUCCAGUACAGAUUUGGCUUUGUGUUUUAGGUUAUUGCCCUGCUGAAAGGAGAAUUCAUCUCCCAGUAUCUAGUGGUAAGCAGACAACUAGAUUUUGCCUGUGCUUAGCUCCAUUCCGUAAUUUUUUUAAAUCCUGAAAUACUCCCCAGUACUUAACGAUUACAAGCAUACCCAUAACAUGAUGCAGCCACCACUGUGCUUGAAAACAUAGAGUGUGGUACUCAGUAAUGGAUUUGCCUCAAAAAUAACACUUUGUCUUCAGGACAAAAAGUGAAUUCCUUUGCCACAUUUUUGCAGUAUUAGUGCUUUGUUGCAAACAGGAUGCAUGUUUUGGAAUAUGUUUUAUUAUGUACAGGCUUCCUUCUUUUAACUCUGCAGUUACUCCACAAUACUAACAUAAUUGACAAUGUUGCUGUCAGUUUUCUCCUACCACAGCCAUUAAACUCUGUAACUGUCUCACCGGUUACUAGGAGUGGUGGGUAGGAGUCAGGUGCAGAGAGCAGAGGAUUCAGUGAUUAGUAAUAUUUAUGUGCAAGAAUAGUGUUUAACAUGAUUUUUUUAUGACUACCUCAUCUCUCAUCUCAAAUAAUGCGCGGGGUAAAAAAAUAAAUAAUCUUAAACACUAUUCUUGCACAUAGAGUGAGUCCAUACAACUUAUUAUGUGACAUGUUAAGC
This is a long non-coding RNA of Oncorhynchus tshawytscha (Chinook salmon), 1507 nucleotides long. NCBI's taxonomy places the organism in Eukaryota, Metazoa, Chordata, Actinopteri, Salmoniformes, Salmonidae. The record is from Ensembl.